This 82-nucleotide transfer RNA is filed under the name Danio rerio (zebrafish). Its description in RNAcentral is "tRNA-Leu (TAG) (tRNA-Leu-TAG-9-1)". It matches the Rfam family "tRNA". From Rfam's summary of the family: Transfer RNA (tRNA) molecules are approximately 80 nucleotides in length. Their secondary structure includes four short double-helical elements and three loops (D, anti-codon, and T loops). Lineage: Eukaryota; Metazoa; Chordata; Actinopteri; Cypriniformes; Danionidae. The record is from Rfam by way of RNAcentral.
GGUAGCGUGGCCGAGCGGUCUAAGGCGCUGGAUUUAGGCUCCAGUCUCUUCGGGGGCGUGGGUUCGAAUCCCAUCGCUGCCA